GCAAGUCGAACGGUAGCAGGUUUAGUUUACUAGAUGCUGACGAGUGGCGGACGGGUGAGUAACGCGUAGGAAUUUACCCUAGAGAGUGGGAUAACUUGAGGAAACUUAAGCUAAUACCGGAUAUGGCCUUCGGGUUAAAGGUUGCUUAGGCAGCCGCUUUAGGAUGAGCCUGCGUUAGAUUAGCUUGUUGGUGAGGUAAGGGCACACCAAGGCGACGAUCUAUAGCUGUUCUGAGAGGAAGAUC
This 244-nucleotide ribosomal RNA is filed under the name uncultured bacterium. RNAcentral describes it as "partial 16S ribosomal RNA". It matches the Rfam family "Bacterial small subunit ribosomal RNA", at positions 57 to 305 of the family's 1533-position model. The record is from RNAcentral.